RNAcentral lists this ribosomal RNA (775 nucleotides) under uncultured Neocallimastigales. RNAcentral describes it as "partial large subunit ribosomal RNA". It matches the Rfam family "Eukaryotic large subunit ribosomal RNA", at positions 25 to 643 of the family's 3401-position model. Lineage: Eukaryota; Fungi; Neocallimastigomycota; Neocallimastigomycetes; Neocallimastigales. The record is from RNAcentral.
CCGCAUCUGUGCAUGCAGCAUAUCAAUAAGCGGAGGAAAAGAAACUAACAAGGAUUCCCCUAGUAACGGCAAGUGAAGCGGGAAGAGCUCAAAUUUGAAAUCUUAAAGGGUUUCCCUUUACGAAUUGUAGUUUAAAGAAGUGUUUUCUGUUGAGGUUUUGGUAAAAGUUCUUUGGAAUAGGACAUCAUAGAGGGUGAGAAUCCCGUAUUUGACCUUUACUUUCAACUUUGUGAUACACUUUCAAAGAGUCGGAUUGUUUGGGAAUGCGGUCCAAAAUGGGUGGUAAAUUUCAUCUAAAGCUAAAUAUUGGCGAGAGACCGAUAGCGAACAAGUACCGUGAGGGAAAGAUGAAAAGAACUUUGAAAAGAGAGUUAAACAGUACGUGAAAUUGUCAAAAGGGAAGCGUUUGACACCAGUGUUGUUUUUCUGAAAAUCAAUUAAAGAACUGUUUAUGCUAAGCUGUUUAGACUUUAUCAGCUAUCUGUUUAGUUUUGAGCUUUUCUUUAAUGCACUUUUCAGUUAACAAGUCAACAUCAAUUUCUUUUGCUGUAAAAAAGCUUGAGGAAGGUGGCUUGAGAUUCGUCUUAAGUGUUUAUAGCCUCUUGCCUAUGCAGUCGGAGAGAUUGAGGUCUGCAGCGUAGACUCUUCGGGGUUAGAUACAUUUGUGCUAAGUUAUAGCUUUUUAUAGCCAACUUGUUGACUAUAAUUAGUCUUGUAGCUUACUCGCUUAUGCUAUUUUACCUACGCUUAGGAUGUUGAUAGUCACAGCGUGUAC